Molecule: ribosomal RNA, 468 nt
Filed under: uncultured bacterium
Lineage: Bacteria
Description: partial 16S ribosomal RNA
Rfam family: Bacterial small subunit ribosomal RNA
Source: RNAcentral
GACGAACGCUGGCGGCGUGCUUAACACAUGCAAGUCGAACGGAAAGGCCCUGCUUUUGUGGGGUGCUCGAGUGGCGAACGGGUGAGUAACACGUGAGUAACCUGCCCUUGACUUUGGGAUAACUUCAGGAAACUGGGGCUAAUACCGGAUAGGAGCUCCUGCUGCAUGGUGGGGGUUGGAAAGUUUCGGCGGUUGGGGAUGGACUCGCGGGUUAUCAGCUUGUUGGUGGGGUAGUGGCUUACCAAGGCUUUGACGGGUAGCCGGCCUGAGAAGGUGACCGGCCACAUUGGGACUGAGAUACGGCCCAGACUCCUACGGGAGGCAGCAGUGGGGAAUAUUGCACAAUGGGCGGAAGCCUGAUGCAGCAACGCCGCGUGCGGGAUGACGGCCUUCGGGUUGUAAACCGCUUUCGCCUGUGACGAAGCGUGAGUGACGGUAAUGGGUAAAGAAGCACCGGCUAACUACGUG